This 579-nucleotide ribosomal RNA is filed under the name uncultured Gammaproteobacteria bacterium. RNAcentral describes it as "partial 16S ribosomal RNA". It matches the Rfam family "Bacterial small subunit ribosomal RNA", at positions 1 to 578 of the family's 1533-position model. Lineage: Bacteria; Pseudomonadati; Pseudomonadota; Gammaproteobacteria. The record is from RNAcentral.
GGCGGCCGCGGGAAUUCGAUUAGAGUUUGAUCAUGGCUCAGAUUGAACGCUGGCGGCAGGCCUAACACAUGCAAGUCGAGCGGUAGAGAGAAGCUUGCUUCUCUUGAGAGCGGCGGACGGGUGAGUAAUGCCUAGGAAUCUGCCUGGUAGUGGGGGAUAACGUUCGGAAACGGACGCUAAUACCGCAUACGUCCUACGGGAGAAAGCAGGGGACCUUCGGGCCUUGCGCUAUCAGAUGAGCCUAGGUCGGAUUAGCUAGUUGGUGGGGUAAUGGCUCACCAAGGCGACGAUCCGUAACUGGUCUGAGAGGAUGAUCAGUCACACUGGAACUGAGACACGGUCCAGACUCCUACGGGAGGCAGCAGUGGGGAAUAUUGGACAAUGGGCGAAAGCCUGAUCCAGCCAUGCCGCGUGUGUGAAGAAGGUCUUCGGAUUGUAAAGCACUUUAAGUUGGGAGGAAGGGCAGUAAAUUAAUACUUUGCUGUUUUGACGUUACCGACAGAAUAAGCACCGGCUAACUCUGUGCCAGCAGCCGCGGUAAUACGAAUCACUAGUGAAUUCGCGGCCGCCUGCAGGUCG